RNAcentral lists this ribosomal RNA (497 nucleotides) under uncultured bacterium. RNAcentral describes it as "partial 16S ribosomal RNA". It matches the Rfam family "Bacterial small subunit ribosomal RNA", at positions 28 to 507 of the family's 1533-position model. The record is from RNAcentral.
GAUGAACGCUGGCGGCGUGCCUAAUACAUGCAAGUCGAGCGAACAGACGAGGAGCUUGCUCCUCUGACGUUAGCGGCGGACGGGUGAGUAACACGUGGAUAACCUACCUAUAAGACUGGGAUAACUUCGGGAAACCGGAGCUAAUACCGGAUAACAUGUUGAACCGCAUGGUUCAACAGUGAAAGACGGUUUUGCUGUCACUUAUAGAUGGAUCCGCGCCGCAUUAGCUAGUUGGUAAGGUAACGGCUUACCAAGGCAACGAUGCGUAGCCGACCUGAGAGGGUGAUCGGCCACACUGGAACUGAGACACGGUCCAGACUCCUACGGGAGGCAGCAGUAGGGAAUCUUCCGCAAUGGGCGAAAGCCUGACGGAGCAACGCCGCGUGAGUGAAGAAGGUCUUCGGAUCGUAAAACUCUGUUAUUAGGGAAGAACAAAUGUGUAAGUAACUAUGCACGUCUUGACGGUACCUAAUCAGAGAGCCACGGCUAACUACGUG